AACGAACGCUGGCGGCAUGCCUAACACAUGCAAGUCGAACGAGAUCUUCGGGUCUAGUGGCGCACGGGUGCGUAACGCGUGGGAAUCUGCCCUUUGGUUCGGAAUAACAGUUGGAAACGACUGCUAAUACCGGAUGAUGACGAAAGUCCAAAGAUUUAUCGCCAGAGGAUGAGCCCGCGUAGGAUUAGCUAGUUGGUGUGGUAAAGGCGCACCAAGGCGACGAUCCUUAGCUGGUCUGAGAGGAUGAUCAGCCACACUGGGACUGAGACACGGCCCAGACUCCUACGGGAGGCAGCAGUGGGGAAUAUUGGACAAUGGGCGCAAGCCUGAUCCAGCAAUGCCGCGUGAGUGAUGAAGGCCUUAGGGUUGUAAAGCUCUUUCGCACGCGACGAUGAUGACGGUAGCGUGAGAAGAAGCCCCGGCUAACUUCGUGCCAGCCGCCGCCGUAA
Molecule: ribosomal RNA, 449 nt
Filed under: uncultured bacterium
Lineage: Bacteria
Description: partial 16S ribosomal RNA
Rfam family: Bacterial small subunit ribosomal RNA
Source: RNAcentral